GGAAGUACGUAGUGAGGAAAUUUUGUGAUAAGCCAUUGGCCAUCACAGAUCAGAUGAGCAAUGGUAUUACGGUGGGUGGCCUGACAGGAUCUCUUACCGCGCCCUCAAUGAUUUGGUCAGCAGCCCUACAUACUCAAGACAACAUGGCGGGAAAGCUUGUGGUGACAGCUGUGCUUGGAUGGUCUGGAUGCGUCGCCCGAACGAAUUUGUAAGCUAAUCAGACCAUGUCUGACGUCAUAGCUUCAGUCUAAAGAACGACAAACUCGCUGAUGCAGAAAACUGAAUGAUUUAAAUAUUAAUUUAUAUAUUAGAUUACAUAGCCAUGCAUGACCACAAUUUGAAAACUUUGUGAAAUAGAUUUUUUUAAAGUAUCUGGCUUAGGUGAACCGAGCCACCAAAUUUUGAUGAAUUCGGAAGUCUAAUAAAUAAAGAUGGAAAAGAAGCACCUAUAAGCUCUCUUCCCACUUGUCUUCGUAUACUAUUUGAAACAUCUAAUAGUACCGGCAUUUCAUAGUUAAUAUCAUCUAUAGUCUUGAGGUUUGAAAUAUUAGUUUGAAGAUUUUUUAAUCAAGAUGAUGAGAAAAGAGGACAUUUCAGCCACA
Molecule: long non-coding RNA, 602 nt
Organism: Actinia tenebrosa (Australian red waratah sea anemone)
Lineage: Eukaryota; Metazoa; Cnidaria; Anthozoa; Actiniaria; Actiniidae
Source: RefSeq, a predicted model, not a curated record